GCAAGCAGACCCAGUAAUCAAUCUUAUGUGUCUGUCUCAUAAGUUUAGUAACUUCUUAUACAUGCGCAUACCAGUUUCUGAUCAAAACCAGAUACAG
This is a long non-coding RNA of Sinocyclocheilus anshuiensis, 97 nucleotides long. RefSeq lists it as uncharacterized. The transcript is spliced from 4 exons. NCBI's taxonomy places the organism in Eukaryota, Metazoa, Chordata, Actinopteri, Cypriniformes, Cyprinidae. The record is from RefSeq and is a predicted model, not a curated record.